UCUAAAGUUGUGCAGGGAACUGGAAUUUCCGUUUCACCAGAAAUACUGAAAUUUCUAAAUUUGUUUUCAUUCCAAAAUGGAAAUAAAUUUGGAGAGAGCAUGAUUUCAAAAUGAAAAUCAAACCAUUCUGUUCUGAAAUUGUUGAAAUGGGAUGUUUCAACCUUAUCCAAAUGGUUUUCUUCAAUUUUGUUUUUCAAAACAAAGAUUCAUUAAAAUUCACGUUUCUCUAGAAUAGUGGUGGGCAACCUGCAGCCCGUGGGCCACACUUGGCCCAUAAAGGUAAUCUGCUGGCGGGCUGCAAGACAGUUUGUUUAUAUUGACCGUCCGCAGGCACGGCUGCCCGCAGCUCCCAGUUCCCUGCCAAUGGGAGCUGUGGGAAGACUAUCAGUGUUGUAAUGUAUGGUAUUUGCCAAUGCAUUCUAAUCUACUACAUGGCAGCUAAGUUUAUCAGCACUGUAAAAGGAAUUCCACACUACUGAAGCAAUGAAAUGGAAACCAUAUGUAAUAGUGAGGAAACUCAGUUCCAGCAUAAACUAGUGGAGAAGGAAGGGGAUUAUUAUAGAAAAUGACAAAGAAAAAACAAUUCCUGCAUGUAGCAAGAGAUGCCCAAAUUCCUACUUAUAUGGACCAAGCCCAGACUUUCUCAUAUCAUGGACUGUGCUUUCCUGCAUUGUUGUGUAACCAACAUGUGCAAGCUUGUAAUAUCUGUGUUUCUUUCCUUGCAGGUGUUGAUGCCCUCUUCAUUACCAGAAAUCCUUCUCUUACGAGGCAGCUCUUCCCUAGAUCUUGAAGAUCGGAUCAGAUUUGUUAAGGGAUCCUCUCUAUUUCUGUCAUGUUGUUCACGUACAGACCACUCCUGUUUCCUCACUUUAUACCUUUCUUCGAGGGCUUACAUUGCUGCCUGCAAAGCACUAUCCUUCUGGAUGAUGGGGACUUUGGAACCAGUUUAUGUUCCUUCAUCCUUGGCUCAGAGUUCUCUGUUAAGCAGUGUGAGGCCCUUUUCCUCCUCAGAACACAUCAUUCUGAACAUAUGCUGA
Molecule: long non-coding RNA, 1037 nt
Filed under: Chrysemys picta bellii (western painted turtle)
Lineage: Eukaryota; Metazoa; Chordata; Testudines; Emydidae
Description: lncRNA (ENSCPBG00000012557.1)
Source: RNAcentral